RNAcentral lists this ribosomal RNA (483 nucleotides) under uncultured bacterium. RNAcentral's name for it is "partial 16S ribosomal RNA". It matches the Rfam family "Bacterial small subunit ribosomal RNA", at positions 28 to 507 of the family's 1533-position model. The record is from RNAcentral.
GACGAACGCUGGCGGCGUGCUUAACACAUGCAAGUCGAACGAUGAAGCGGGUGCUUGCACUCGUGGAUUAGUGGCGCACGGGCGUGUAACACGUGAGUAACCCGUCCUUUUCUUUGGGAUAACUGCUGGAAACGGCUGCUAAUACUGGAUAUUCAUGCUGCAUCGCCUGGUGUGGUUUGGAAAGGUUUUUUCUGGGAUUGGGUAGGCUCGCGGCCUAUCUGCUUGUUGGUGGGGUGAUGGCUUAAGAAGGCUUUGACGGGAAGCCGGCAUGGGAGGGUGGUCGGUGACAGUGGGACGGAAAUACGGCCCAGAGUCCUACGCGAGGCAGCAGUGGGGAAUAUGGGUCAAGGGACGAAAGUUAGAGGCCGCGAGGCUGAGUGGAGGGUGUAGGCCGUCGGGUUGUGAACUCCGGUAUGUCGAGAAAAAGGAACAGUUUUGGCUGUGUUGAUGGUACUGGGGGAAGAAGCGACGGCUAACUACGUG